UCGGCAACGGAUAUCUCGGCUCUUACAUCGAUGAAGAACGUAGCAAAAUGCGAUACUUGGUGUGAAUUGCAGAAUCCCGUGAACCAUCGAGUCUUUGAACGCAAGUUGCGCCCGAAUCCUUUUGGUCGAGGGCACGUCUGCCUGGGUGUCACGUACACGCGCCUCCCGCAAACCUUCCCCCUUGGGGACGAAGGGUCAUGCGGGAGCAGAUGUUGGUAUCCCGUGCCC
This 228-nucleotide ribosomal RNA is filed under the name Saxifraga rivularis. RNAcentral's name for it is "5.8S ribosomal RNA". The stretch from base 1 to 151 matches the Rfam family "5.8S ribosomal RNA". From Rfam's summary of the family: 5.8S ribosomal RNA (5.8S rRNA) is a component of the large subunit of the eukaryotic ribosome. The record is from RNAcentral. Lineage: Eukaryota; Viridiplantae; Streptophyta; Magnoliopsida; Saxifragales; Saxifragaceae.